RNAcentral lists this transfer RNA (86 nucleotides) under Deltaproteobacteria bacterium ADurb.Bin151. RNAcentral describes it as "tRNA-Ser". It matches the Rfam family "tRNA". From Rfam's summary of the family: Transfer RNA (tRNA) molecules are approximately 80 nucleotides in length. The record is from RNAcentral. Lineage: Bacteria; Deltaproteobacteria. RNAcentral also lists the same sequence under 5 other names.
GGAGGGAUGGCCGAGUGGUCGAUGGCGGCGGUCUUGAAAACCGUUGGACGAAAGUCUCGCGGGUUCGAAUCCUGCUCCCUCCGCCA